Molecule: ribosomal RNA, 406 nt
Filed under: uncultured bacterium
Lineage: Bacteria
Description: partial 16S ribosomal RNA
Rfam family: Bacterial small subunit ribosomal RNA
Source: RNAcentral
AUUGAACGCUGGCGGCAGGCCUAACACAAGCAAGUCGAACGAGUGGCGGGCGGGUGAGUAAUGUCUGUGACACUGCCUGCUGGAGGGGGAUAACUACUGGAAACGGUUGCUAAUACCGCAUACCAUCAGAUGUGCGCAGAUGGGAUUAGCUUGUUGGUGGGGGAACGGUUCACCAAGGCGACGAUCCCUAGCUGGUCUGAGAGGAUGACCAGCCACACGGGAACUGAGGCGCGGGCGAGACUCCUACGAGAGGCAGCAGUGGGGAAUAUGGCACAAUGGGCGCAAGCCGGAUGCAGCCAUGCCGCGGGUAUGAAGAAGGCCUUCAAGUUGUACAGUUCUUUAAGCGGUGAGGCGUUACCCGCAGAAGAAGCACCGGCUAACUCCGUGCCAGCAGCCGCGGUAAUAC